AUUCAACUGAUGGGUUCAAAAUAGGACGGAGCUCGCGUCCUGAAU
Molecule: non-coding RNA, 45 nt
Filed under: Schistosoma margrebowiei
Lineage: Eukaryota; Metazoa; Platyhelminthes; Trematoda; Strigeidida; Schistosomatidae
Source: RNAcentral